This is a long non-coding RNA of Esox lucius (northern pike), 5241 nucleotides long. Lineage: Eukaryota; Metazoa; Chordata; Actinopteri; Esociformes; Esocidae. The record is from Ensembl.
CACUUUCUCCAAAAGUUGGAAAAUAAUAUAGCAUAUUAUCUUUGUCCACUUCUAAUAUAUAAUAAUAUACAUGUGAAUAAUUUGCAUAAAUUAACCCUUAAACAGUAUCUCUUAAAUUGAUCAAGAUAGAGGGAUCAAACCAACCUAGUUUCACAUUGUUAGACUAUCCCAACUUCAAAAAGCGAUUGUAUUUUUAUUUUUGCCACACCAUGUAAGUGGAGCCGGCCAAGAAGAAUGAAACUGACUGACUGACUAUGUUAUAGUAAGCCUAAAAUAAAACUUUAUAAUGCAAACAUUACUGGUGGAUUUGCAAAGUAUGCAUCUGUGCAUGAUUUUUGUGGUAAUAUAGGCUAGAUCAAAACCCCUUGGGCAGUAAAAGAGUAGGAGUUUCCACGAUUCUCUCGUCUUUCACUUGACGAAAAAUCUGUUAUCGUCACCUAUAUUGAUAGUUAUUGUAUCGAUGUCAUUCACGAAUAAAACGCUUUUGCGCCAUGAUAUAGCUUUGGCUGUGUUAAGUUCAAGUAGUAAGUAAGAUACUAGUAUGCCUAUUACUGGAUAAUAAGCUUUAAAAAAGGCCUGUGGCAAAAGCCAUACAUUUCAUAGAUACUAUUUGUGGUGGAGGUAAACUUAACAAAAAACUAAAUAUUCACACUUGGCGUGAUGUUAAUGCAUAAAAUUAUCUAAUGUCAAGAUGCUACCACCCCUUUACUAACACACAGCACCGUGGUGUAGCAGUUAAAGACACAACCACUCACAUGGCAGACUUGGGUUUGAAUCCAGUGAGGGUUACAAUGUUAAUCACUUAUAAUUGCAGGCCGGCUGAACUAGGCUUGCCUGGUUCCUUUUUUUGGUUUAACAGUUAAAACAUGCCCCAGCAACUUUACUUGCAAUUAAAAUAUAUUUUACAUUAAUCAUUACAAAUUUAAAGAAGCUUUAAUUAAAGUUGAAAUACAGACCGCAAAUUUAAUUAAACCGGUGUGCUGAUCUGGAAGUCACAUCCCACAAGUUUACUGUAGACAGAAUGGACUUGAAGAUCUAAUAACUUCUUAAUAAUAAAACAUCUAGAAGAUAAGGCUAACUAAUGAACAAUGUAGCUAAAAUGUUCACCAAGUUACGUAGCACAACUGCAUUGGAAACUUGCAGUCACGCCCAGUUAAAUGACAUUUGUUAGAGUUCCACCACACAAAAACAGAAAAGUGAUGAUUAUAUUUCAGAGGGUAUUGUGGUAAAAUUUUAUUUAAGAUUGAGAGCUUGACAACUAGCUUUUUACGGUCACAUCUUCAAGCUCAGUAUCCUGUGUCCCCCUGAUGAUUUCCACUUGUUUAUUUUGCUCCGGGUGUUGUGUAAUCCUUUCAUUUUAGGAUUAUAACAUAGCUAAUGAAGGUUUUAGCCAGCAAAGUUUUUGUUUUUUGUCAUUUGUUUCUCUUUCAUGAAUGACAUUGAUACAAUAACUGACUCUCGUCAAGUGAAGACAAGAGAAUCGUGGAAACCCCAACUCUUUUACUGCCCAAGGGGUUUUGAUAAAGCCUAUAUUAUUACCCAUAAAAGCAUGCACAGAUGCGUACCUUUGAAAAUCCACCAGAAACAGUCACAAUAUAACCGUAAACAGUUUUAGUUUAGGCUUACAAUAAUGUAGCUAAUGAAUGUUGCAUGUAGCCAGCUACAUUUGUCUGUCCAGACCCAAAAAGCAUGCUUGGAUGUGUACUUUGAAAAUCCCCAAGAAAUAGUCACAAUACUGUAUAACAAUAAACAGUUUUUGUUUAGGCUUACUAUAACUUAGAUCCUGAAUGUAGUAGCCAGCUAAGUUUGUCUGUCCUGACACAAAAAGCAUUCACGGUUGUGUACUUUGAAAAUCUACCAGAAACAGUUGCAAUAUAUGUAAUGCUUCUAGUUGGUGUCGUGUUGGCAAGGAACCAGGCGCAGGCAUAUAUCACAUUCAUGGGUUUAAUAACCAUACAAACAAACUGAACACGAACGGAAAACUCUACAAACGACUGAAUUAAAUAAAAGUGCACAACAUGAGUCUUAACAGGCAAUUUUCAGACAGUACAAACACGCAACACACACCAAUAAACGAACAGACAGCAACAACGAUCCACAAUGUGGGGAGCAGAGGGGAAACAUUUAAACACAUACAAACGAUACAAAUUGGGACCUGGUGUGAAAGAUUGGAGACAUGGGACAGUCCGGGAUGUGUUCGUGUGAUAUGGGAACUUGAGAAUAUAUGGCACGGUGGCGCUGCUGUUCAACGCACCAUGACAAUAUAACCAUAAAUAGUGCAGAUAGUCAGCAAAGUUUCUGUCUAUCCGGAACAAAUCUAAAUGCAUACUUUGUUUUGACUGUGAGGAGAUUCGAUUAUGGGAUCUAUAGCUUGCAGGUCUACUUCUCAAACCACUACGCUAUUUAACAUGAUUGGUAAGGAUUAGACAUUCACUCUUCUAGGCCGGCUCUGCUUACGCGGUCCGGCAAAAAUAAAAUAAAUAUAGGAAUCACAUUAAAGCAAUGUAGAAAUAUAAAUGUGAUGUACAUAACAAUGAUAUGGACAUGAAACAUGUUUAUUUCUGCACUACAGGUAAGCUAUACAUUCAUACGGCUACUGUAUCUCUGUCUAGUGCCACUAUCCCAGGACACGUAGAAUGGGAUUUCAAAACCAAACAUUGUGUAAAUGCUGCUUCAUAGUCUAUGCAAAAGGAGUCAACAUAGCGUAGCAAGGCUACAGGAACAAGGUUAUUAAAUGGACAACCACACUGUCUAUAUACCUACUUAAAUUUGUAAACACAAAAGCAGUACAAUGGGUUGCUUUGUGCAAAUGUGAUUUCCGCUACAACAUUUUACCCGGCAAUUACGCAUUUGUCUUGUUUUGUAUCAUCUGCCUGACGACUCGGUAAUACUAGCACUCCUAGCAAUAAUUAAACUUCACCAUAUACAGUAUAUUCAGGAACUGUACAGUUUGCUAAUCUUUUUUUGCGUGAAGAGGACCAGGUGUGGGGCUGCAGCCACCAGAGAUCGUGUCUUGAUGAUUCUCCAACAGCUGGGUUUAAUUCUGCUUAAAACAUCGCCAGACAAAAUGCCAACAUGGUUUGUCUAAAGUUACACUUGUCCAAUAUGUUUAAUAGAUGGUCCUGCAUACUUGUGUUGUUGUAAUGAUUAGCAGGGUUAUCUUAAUGUUCUUAGUAACAACAAAUAACACAUGUUGAGCAAUAUCAGCGUGCUGCUAGUUUACACUUUAUUUUCUUCAUCUCUUUGUAAGUUUCAUGGUUUGCAUUUAUGUGUCAUAUCAUCACCAUACUAUUUUGAAAGUUUGUCUGAAGUCAGAUGCACCAUUGAGCAGUACUAAGUGCAUCCUGAAUCGGGGUGAAGAUUUGGUCAUUGCCAUCAGUCUAAAUUAAUUUGCUGACAUGAUGAUGACACCCGGCUACACACUUUGGACAAUAAAGUGCCUGGACCAACAGAACUUCUAGCUUGACAGACCCAGGAUUGGGUUGUCUAUUAGUGUCUGGUAUUCUCCCUUUUGUGUCACAAAUUAAGUGUCACAGAACAUGCCCACAGCUUGCACGCAAGCAAGAGUGGAAAUCCAGACCCUGAUGUGAGGUGUAUCAUUACCUCUACACACCAGCAGCGUCUCACCCCGCAUCUGCUGGCUUGACUCUAAAGUCAAAGUCUCAGCCCUGGUUUGUCCCUGGAUGGGAGCUCCAUAAAAUGCUGAGAAAGUGAUAAUUGGUCCACUUAGAUUUUCGCUUUAUAUAAACAAUAUCUGUGAUGAUUUUAGAAAUUGUAACUUCCAUUUUUAUGCUGAUGAUACUGUGUUGUUUUCUAUUGCUCCCUCAGCUGAUGAAGCAUUUGAGAAGUAGGAGUCUGAUUUUAAGAUUUUGCAGAGAUAUCUUUUACAACUUAAACUUGUUUUAAAUGCUAGGAAAACUAAUGUAAUGUAUUUUUCUAGUUCCAAAUCAUCUGAUGGACACACGUGUAUUUACUAGCAUGGAUGUUAGUAAAAUCGAACAAGUCUCUGAAUAUAAAUACCUAAGACUGUGUUUCAUGGUAUAUUGAAUGCUUUGGAAAUUAUUUUGUACCCUUCUGCUGACUGAUAUCUUUCAACAAUGAGAUCCCUCUGAUGCUUUGGAAGCUCUCUGCGGACCAUGGCUUUUGCUCUGAGAGGCAACUAAGAAAAUGUCAGGAAAAUCCUACUAGAACAGCUGAACUUUAUUUGUGAUUAAUCAGAGUCACUUUAAACGAUGGCAAGUGUGUAAUGACUUCUAUUUAACACGAGUUUGAAUGUGAUUGGUUAAUUCUGAACACAGCCACAUCCCCAGUUAUAAGAGGGUGUACACACUUAUGCAACCAGGUUAUUGUAAGGUUUUCAUUUUUAAGUUAAACACUCUGGUGUCACUUUCCCAAUUUAGAGGUCUUAUGGAAAACCCCUACGAUGCACUGUGUAAUUUUUUGUUGAAUUAUUUUUGUGUUUGUGUAAUUACUGUACAUGUAAUUCUGUCUACACAGGGCACAGCUUAAAAAGAGAUCAAGGUCUUCCUCAUCAGAGAGUUUGAUUCAUAGCUAAAAUGUAUGUCACAUUUUAACAAUCCGAAGUUAUUCGAAAUUACAGAAUGGGCAUAGUGAUUUAUGAGGAGAAUCUUGAAUGUGUCUAAUGAAUGUUGGUUAGGAUGUAGAAUGCUAAUAAUGGUUUCCAUUGACAACCAAGCUGAUUCCCUUCUGAUGCGUCUUAUCCAUGCAGGUGAUGUCAUAAUGGUGUCUGUGUGGACGUGGAAAAUUAUUGAUACGCAUUGAGAAAUUGGUGAGGGGGACUGCUAUUGUUCUCAUAGAGGACCAGUCUGUGAAACAACUUGAAAUUAAAGUUUCUUGACUGCUUGUACCUUCUGUGUGUCACACACUUGAGUGAUGGAUUCACAUCUCUGCGUGCCAGAGAGCUUAACACACAGAGUUCAUAACUGUAACUGUCUUACAGGCCUAGGUAUUUAGAAAUAGGUAUUGGUAUUUAGAAUACUGUGGUACUGCUGCUAAUUCUGUAUCUAGCUAACCCGUACCUCUUCUAGAAUACUGUGACAAUUCAAUUUAUUCUUGUUUUUUGUGAAGCAGAGGUCAGUGCUUAAAAUAAACAUUUCCAAAGUCUUAAUGUUUGUGUUGUGUCAUUUUCCUCUAUUUGACUUACAUUUACUUUUAUUUCUUUAAACAAUAAAUGACUCAUACAGUGGGGCAAAAAAGUAUUUAGUCAGCCACCAAUUGUGC